CUGGCGUAAUAGUUUCCCUCCCGAGCAGUGGUAGUGGAGAGACCAAAAAGCACGGAGGAAAGGACGCAAGCCGCGUGUUUGAGAAAGGACAGAGAUGAGUGAACGCUGCGAACAAGAAGAACGAAAAAAAAACUCGUCAGCGGUAUAAACAAUAUCAUAAAUAUUGUUUUUGUAGCAACCAACAAACGGAGUGCGUCGAGGACUUUGCGUCUCCGUCGUCAUCGUGUUGCGGUUUCCCUUCGUGUUCAGGAGGGUGUGGAGUGUUCGGGCGCGUAGGGUAGUGGCAGAGGUGUGACUCCUGCAAGACGAUACAGUGUGCGCGGUCCUCCGUACCAGAUCGUGCUGCCAGAUGUGCUGCUAACAAAGCAAAGCGGAUUUGGGACUCAUCCACCAGGAGUGGCGGUGGCGAAGAGCGGCGACGACCCGGCGAGAUGCUGGGAUCGUGUCACAGUUGCACUUGCUGCAGCAUAGAGCAUAACGCCCAGAAGCCAUCGCCAACACAUCGGCAGCGGACUAGGAGAGGUCGGGUGUGGUGCAAAAGGUCAUCAACAUAAUGAACCGUUUUCCCUCCGAUAGCGGGUGAAUAUCGUUGCUCCGGUUGUGCAUUUAGUUGAUGGCUCUAUCACCGGAAAAGCGUUACAAACAUUUCUGAUCAAAAAUACUGAACCUGUCUCUUUCCACUUGAAAGCAGGAUGUUGGACAGUGAUCAGCUUACCUAGCUGAAUGAAAAGAAACCCGAAAGCGGUUAAUCUACUACGGGGACCUUGCAAUCCUAUUCAUAAAAUUUCAUGACAAAUGAACUUUUAAUCAAAUUUAUUAAUCCUUCGUUCAUCAAGAUAACGAAAUUGAUCAUUGUGAAUCAGUAAAUAUGGGAAUGAAAUAAUUAAUAUGCUCUGUAAAAUUGUGUCAAU
Molecule: long non-coding RNA, 911 nt
Organism: Anopheles arabiensis
Lineage: Eukaryota; Metazoa; Arthropoda; Insecta; Diptera; Culicidae
Exons: 3
Source: RefSeq, a predicted model, not a curated record